ACACGCAUGACACACUGCAUAUCAAUAAGCGGAGGAAAAGAAACUAACAAGGAUUCCCUAGUAACGGCGAGUGAAGCGGGAAGAGCUCAAAUUUGAAAUCUUCAAGGUUUUCCCUUGACGAAUUGUAGUUUAAAGAAGUGUUUUCUGUUAGAGAGUUGGUAAAAGUUCUUUGGAAUAGGACAUCAUAGAGGGUGAGAAUCCCGUAUUUGAUCACUUUCUACUAACUUUGUGAUACACUUUCAAAGAGUCGGAUUGUUUGGGAAUGCAGUCCAAAAUGGGUGGUAAAUUUCAUCUAAAGCUAAAUAUUGGCGAGAGACCGAUAGCGAACAAGUACCGUGAGGGAAAGAUGAAAAGAACUUUGAAAAGAGAGUUAAACAGUACGUGAAAUUGUCAAAAGGGAAGCGUUUGACACCAGUGUUGUUUUCUCGAAAAUCAAUUAAAAAUGCCCUGGAUUUUGUGUUGUAUUGACUUUAUCAGCUUUCUGCACUUUUUCUUGUCUUUUUUAAUGCACUUUUCGUUUAACAAGUCAACAUCAAUUUCUUUUGUUGUAAAAGAGUCAUCGGAAGGUGGCUUUCAUUUCGGUGAAAGUGUUUAUAGCCUUUGACUUCUGCAAUCGGAGAGAUUGAGGUCUGCAGCGUAGAUCCUUCGGGGUUAGAUACAUUUGUGCUAAGUUAUAGUUUUUCAUAGACAACAUGUUGACUAUGAUUAAUCAUGUAGCUUACUCGCUUAUGCUAUUUUACCUACGCUUAGGAUGUUGAUCUGUAGUGCGUGCGC
This 774-nucleotide ribosomal RNA is filed under the name uncultured Neocallimastigales. RNAcentral describes it as "partial large subunit ribosomal RNA". It matches the Rfam family "Eukaryotic large subunit ribosomal RNA", at positions 23 to 632 of the family's 3401-position model. Lineage: Eukaryota; Fungi; Neocallimastigomycota; Neocallimastigomycetes; Neocallimastigales. The record is from RNAcentral.